RNAcentral lists this ribosomal RNA (251 nucleotides) under uncultured prokaryote. RNAcentral describes it as "partial 16S ribosomal RNA". It matches the Rfam family "Bacterial small subunit ribosomal RNA", at positions 525 to 775 of the family's 1533-position model. The record is from RNAcentral.
ACGUAGGUGGCAAGCGUUGUCCGGAAUUAUUGGGCGUAAAGCGCGCGCAGGUGGUUCCUUAAGUCUGAUGUGAAAGCCCACGGCUCAACCGUGGAGGGUCAUUGGAAACUGGGGAACUUGAGUGAGGAAGAGGAAAGUGGAAUUCCAGGUGUAGCGGUGAAAUGCGUAGAUAUUUGGAGGAACGCCAGUGGCGAAGGCGGCUUUCUGGGCUGUAACUGACGCUGAGGCGCGAAAGCGUGGGGAGCAAACAG